RNAcentral lists this ribosomal RNA (681 nucleotides) under uncultured Bacilli bacterium. RNAcentral's name for it is "bacterial SSU rRNA". It matches the Rfam family "Bacterial small subunit ribosomal RNA", at positions 59 to 713 of the family's 1533-position model. The record is from RNAcentral. Lineage: Bacteria; Bacillati; Bacillota; Bacilli.
UUGCCUAGAUGAUUUUAGUGCUUGCACUAAAUGAAACUAGAUACAAGCGAGCGGCGGACGGGUGAGUAACACGUGGGUAACCUGCCCAAGAGACUGGGAUAACACCUGGAAACAGAUGCUAAUACCGGAUAACAACACUAGACGCAUGUCUAGAGUUUGAAAGAUGGUUCUGCUAUCACUCUUGGAUGGACCUGCGGUGCAUUAGCUAGUUGGUAAGGUAAUGGCUUACCAAGGCGAUGAUGCAUAGCCGAGUUGAGAGACUGAUCGGCCACAUUGGGACUGAGACACGGCCCAAACUCCUACGGGAGGCAGCAGUAGGGAAUCUUCCACAAUGGACGAAAGUCUGAUGGAGCAACGCCGCGUGAGUGAAGAAGGGUUUCGGCUCGUAAAGCUCUGUUGGUAGUGAAGAAAGAUAGAGGUAGUAACUGGCCUUUAUUUGACGGUAAUUACUUAGAAAGUCACGGCUAACUACGUGCCAGCAGCCGCGGUAAUACGUAGGUGGCAAGCGUUGUCCGGAUUUAUUGGGCGUAAAGCGAGUGCAGGCGGUUCAAUAAGUCUGAUGUGAAAGCCUUCGGCUCAACCGGAGAAUUGCAUCAGAAACUGUUGAACUUGAGUGCAGAAGAGGAGAGUGGAACUCCAUGUGUAGCGGUGGAAUGCGUAGAUAUAUGGAAGAACACCAGU